RNAcentral lists this ribosomal RNA (493 nucleotides) under uncultured bacterium. RNAcentral describes it as "partial 16S ribosomal RNA". It matches the Rfam family "Bacterial small subunit ribosomal RNA", at positions 29 to 508 of the family's 1533-position model. The record is from RNAcentral.
AGUGAACGCUGGCGGUAGGCCUAACACAUGCAAGUCGAACGGCAGCACAGUAAGAGCUUGCUCUUACGGGUGGCGAGUGGCGGACGGGUGAGGAAUACAUCGGAAUCUACUUUUUCGUGGGGGAUAACGUAGGGAAACUUACGCUAAUACCGCAUACGACCUACGGGUGAAAGCAGGGGAUCUUCGGACCUUGCGCGAUUGAAUGAGCCGAUGUCGGAUUAGCUAGUUGGCGGGGUAAAGGCCCACCAAGGCGACGAUCCGUAGCUGGUCUGAGAGGAUGAUCAGCCACACUGGAACUGAGACACGGUCCAGACUCCUACGGGAGGCAGCAGUGGGGAAUAUUGGACAAUGGGCGCAAGUCUGAUCCAGCCAUACCGCGUGGGUGAAGAAGGCCUUCGGGUUGUAAAGCCCUUUUGUUGGGAAAGAAAAGUAGCAGGUUAAUACCCCGCUGUUCUGACGGUACCCAAAGAAUAAGCACCGGCUAACUUCGUGC